UCCCCGCUGCCUCCUUGAAAGAGAGAUGUCCUGAACCGCUAGACGAUGGGGGCAGACUUGCACGACCGCCAUC
Molecule: transfer RNA, 73 nt
Filed under: Osteomeles schwerinae
Lineage: Eukaryota; Viridiplantae; Streptophyta; Magnoliopsida; Rosales; Rosaceae
Also listed under: 2 other names
Description: tRNA-Glu
Source: RNAcentral